Molecule: long non-coding RNA, 1149 nt
Organism: Lactuca sativa (garden lettuce)
Lineage: Eukaryota; Viridiplantae; Streptophyta; Magnoliopsida; Asterales; Asteraceae
Source: RefSeq, a predicted model, not a curated record
UAUUUUUAUUUUUUUUUUAAAACGUCCGUGUAGGCCAAUAAGAAUAAGAUCGGUGUCCAUACAUGUGGUAAGCACCGCUUUUUUCAUCGAUUUUUGAGUCGGCUUUUUACCCCCAUUCAAUUUAGAUCAGUGUCCUCUCCACCGCUUCAUUUUCUUCCGGAUCCUCUACCGCCUCAUCUCCGCUUCUGACUUCUUAUCGGCCUUUGCUGGCGAUUUCCCCUAAACCAAGAAAACCGACAAGCCAAGAGUGUCGAUUCAUGCUCUGCGUCUAACCGAAGAUCCAAUCCCAGGUAUUUGUCCUUCGCUACCAUCAACAAAAGGGGAAGGACGGUCACAAGCCGACUGAUGACUUCAGCCGACACCCAGUUCAUCGCUUACCGCUCCAUCAUCCGCCCACAAUCGCCGCCCAACUACUUCUUCCAUAUUCACAUCGUCUUCUCCUUCAAUGGCAUCCAUAUAAUUUUGUCAGAUGAAUCUUCUUUGCAAGGUCAGUUAUGCUUGGGUACUAAAUUUGAAAACCCUGUUUAUGUUUUCUUUGUAUCCUUCAUUGAAGAGAUUUCUAGCAAUGGUUGAAGUAUUUGUUUAUUUUUGGUUUUAUUUGAUGUAAUUUACCGAUCAAGUUUUUCCAAAUUGGUUGUUGUCAAAUUCAUUUUUUUUUUUUUUUUUUGUAAUUUACUGAUAAAAUUUAUGUAGUUUCCUGUUUUCUGAGUUCAUAUAAUUGUUUUUAAUUAUUUUUUUUUUAAAAUUUGGUUCAACCCCUCAAUUCGUCGUUAUUUGGUUCAAUACAAAAUAUCUGGUGAUUCUAUCAUAUUCAUGAUUUUCCUUGAUUUUUCUUACUGAGCUAACGGAAAUGUAAUUGCUAUCGUAUGCUAAUCAUUUCAGGUUAUCUAAAGUCAACAAACUCAUAUUUUUGUCAACGUAAAUCAUGGAAAUUUCCGAAAUUGAAGAGAAUAUGUUUGCGCUGGGUGAACCGAAGGUUUACAAAGGAUGGAGUGUUAGCUUCCAUUUCAUCACCAAGUUUACAAUUUUGAUGAAACAACACAAAAGGUACAUUUUUUUUGUUUACUUAUAUCUGAUUCAUCCAUCAUCUAUAAUCAUCAUAUUAGUUUUUUAAAUCAACUUAUGUUACUAGACCUUGGGUAACCAUAU